RNAcentral lists this ribosomal RNA (492 nucleotides) under uncultured bacterium. RNAcentral's name for it is "partial 16S ribosomal RNA". It matches the Rfam family "Bacterial small subunit ribosomal RNA", at positions 30 to 507 of the family's 1533-position model. The record is from RNAcentral.
AUUGAACGCUGGCGGCAUGCUUUACACAUGCAAGUCGAACGGUAACAGGCCUUCGGGUGCUGACGAGUGGCGAACGGGUGAGUAAUGCAUCGGAACGUGCCCAGAGGUGGGGGAUAACGCAGCGAAAGCUGUGCUAAUACCGCAUGUGAUCUGAGGAUGAAAGCGGGGGACCAAGCAGCAAUGUUUGGCCUCGCGCCUCUGGAGCGGCCGAUGUCAGAUUAGGUAGUUGGUGGGGUAAAGGCCUACCAAGCCGACGAUCUGUAGCUGGUCUGAGAGGACGACCAGCCACACUGGGACUGGGACACGGCCCAGACUCCUACGGGAGGGAGCAGUGGGGAAUUUUGGACAAUGGGCGGAAGCCUGAUCCAACAAUGCCGCGUGCGGGAAGAAGGCCUUCGGGUUUUAAACCGCUUUUGUACGGAACGAAAAGGCUCUGGCUAAUACCUGGGGCUGAUGACGGUACCGUAAGAAUAAGCACCGGCUAACUACGUG